This 30-nucleotide non-coding RNA is filed under the name Homo sapiens (human). The record is from RNAcentral. Lineage: Eukaryota; Metazoa; Chordata; Mammalia; Primates; Hominidae.
UGCAACGAGGUUAUUGCAGAUUUUAAAAGU